CUGUCUCAAAGAUUAGCCAUGCAUGUCUCAGUACAAGCCCAUUAAGGUGAAACCGCAANAGGCUCAUUAAAUCAGUUAUGGUUCCUUAGAUCGUACCACAUAUCCUUGGAUAACUGUGGUAAUUCUAGAGCUAAUACAUGCAAACAGAGCUCCGACCGGAGACGGAAGGAGCGCUUUUAUUAGAUCAAAACCAAUCGGUAUCAGGCGUGUUUCAACGCACGUUUGUUAUCGUACAAUUUGGUGACACUGAAUAACUUUAAGCUGAUCGCACGGUCUAGCACCGGCGACGCAUCUUUCAAAUGUCUGCCUUAUCAACUGUCGAUGGUAGGUUCUGCGCCUACCAUGGUUGUAACGGGUAACGGGGAAUCAGGGUUCGAUUCCGGAGAGGGAGCCUGAGAAACGGCUACCACAUCCAAGGAAGGCAGCAGGCGCGCAAAUUACCCACUCCCGGCACGGGGAGGUAGUGACGAAAAAUAACGAUACGGGACUCAUCCGAGGCCCCGUAAUCGGAAUGAGUACACUUUAAAUCCUUUAACGAGGAUCAAUUGGAGGGCAAGUCUGGUGCCAGCAGCCGCGGUAAUUCCAGCUCCAAUAGCGUAUAUUAAAGUUGUUGCGGUUAAAAAGCUCGUAGUCGGACUUGUGUGCUGUGCCGCUGGUUCAUCGUUCGCGGUGUUAACUGGCGAGCCACAGUACGUCCUGUCGGUGGGUUUAGCCGUUGUUAUUUUUUCAUUAAAGUGCAAUGGCGGCCCAAAUCUAAUCCUGCCGCGGUGCUCUUCAUUGAGUGUCGAGGUGGGCCGACACAUUUACUUUGAACAAAUUAGAGUGCUUAAAGCAGGCUAGAAUUUUGCCUGAAUACUAGUGCAUGGAAUAAUAGAAUAGGACCUCGGUUCUAUUUUGUUGGUUUUCGGAACCCCGAGGUAAUGAUUAAUAGGAACGGAUGGGGGCAUUCGUAUUGCGACGUUAGAGUGAAAUUCUUGGAUCGUCGCAGACGACAU
This 995-nucleotide ribosomal RNA is filed under the name Scraptia sp. COL1003. Its description in RNAcentral is "bacterial SSU rRNA". It matches the Rfam family "Eukaryotic small subunit ribosomal RNA", at positions 31 to 941 of the family's 1831-position model. Lineage: Eukaryota; Metazoa; Arthropoda; Insecta; Coleoptera; Scraptiidae. The record is from RNAcentral.